This 660-nucleotide long non-coding RNA is filed under the name Phasianus colchicus (ring-necked pheasant). Its description in RNAcentral is "lncRNA (ENSPCLG00000017717.1)". Lineage: Eukaryota; Metazoa; Chordata; Aves; Galliformes; Phasianidae. The record is from RNAcentral.
GGGGAAAUAAGGGGGUUAUAGGGUAAUGGGGGGGUAAUGGGGGAAACGGGGUUAUGGGGGAAAUGGGGUUAUGGGGAGGUUAUGGGGCGGACGUGGGGGUUAUGAGGGGAAAUGGGGUUAUAUGGACCAUUUUGGGAUCCUUGAGGCCAUUUUGGGGCCAUUUGGGGUCAUUUUGGUGCAGUUCUGGUCACUCACCUGCUUGUUGCAGUGCUCAGAUUCCUCAAAACCCCAUUUCUGAAAUCCCACCUCCCAUUCUGGGGCCAUUUUGGUGCCAUUUGGUGCCAUUUUGGUGCCAUUUUGGGCCAUUUUGGUGCCAUUUUGGGCCAUUUUGGUGCCAUUUUGGGCCAUUUUGGGGCCAUUUUGGUGCCAUUUGGGGCCGUUUUGGGGCCGUUUGGUCGCUCACCUGCUUGUUGUAGUGCUCAGAAUCCUCUAAACCCCAUUUCUCAAAUCCCACCUCCCAUUCUGGGGCCAUUUUGGGCCAUUUUGGAGCCAUCUGGGGCCAUUUUGGGGCCGUUUGGUGCCAUUUUGGUGCCAUUUUGGGCCAUUUCCGUGCCAUUUUGGGCCAUUUUGGUGCCAUUUUGGGGCCGUUUGGUCGCUCACCUGCUUGCUGUAAUGCUCCGAAUCCUCUAAACCCCAUUUCUCAAAUCCCACCUCCCAUUU